This 428-nucleotide ribosomal RNA is filed under the name uncultured Halomonas sp. RNAcentral describes it as "bacterial SSU rRNA". It matches the Rfam family "Bacterial small subunit ribosomal RNA", at positions 355 to 774 of the family's 1533-position model. Lineage: Bacteria; Pseudomonadati; Pseudomonadota; Gammaproteobacteria; Oceanospirillales; Halomonadaceae. The record is from RNAcentral.
UGGGGAAUAUUGGACAAUGGGCGAAAGCCUGAUCCAGCCAUGCCGCGUGUGUGAAGAAGGCCCUCGGGUUGUAAAGCACUUUCAGUGGGGAAGAAAGCCUUGGGAUUAAUACUUCCGAGGAAGGACAUCACCCACAGAAGAAGCACCGGCUAACUCCGUGCCAGCAGCCGCGGUAAUACGGAGGGUGCGAGCGUUAAUCGGAAUUACUGGGCGUAAAGCGCGCGUAGGCGGUCUGAUCAGCCGGUUGUGAAAGCCCCGGGCUCAACCUGGGAACGGCAUCCGGAACUGUCAGGCUAGAGUGCAGGAGAGGAAGGUAGAAUUCCCGGUGUAGCGGUGAAAUGCGUAGAGAUCGGGAGGAAUACCAGUGGCGAAGGCGGCCUUCUGGCCUGAUACUGACACUGAGGUGCGAAAGCGUGGGGUAGCAAACA